GCCCCCGUCGCCCAACGGCAGAGGCACCGGUCUGAGGGGCCGGACGGUACGGGUUCGAAUCCCGUCGGGGGCA
This 73-nucleotide transfer RNA is filed under the name Thermocatellispora tengchongensis. Its description in RNAcentral is "Streptosporangiaceae bacterium YIM 77521 tRNA". It matches the Rfam family "tRNA". Rfam says of the family: Transfer RNA (tRNA) molecules are approximately 80 nucleotides in length. Their secondary structure includes four short double-helical elements and three loops (D, anti-codon, and T loops). Lineage: Bacteria; Bacillati; Actinomycetota; Actinomycetes; Streptosporangiales; Streptosporangiaceae. The record is from Rfam by way of RNAcentral.